CUAAAUUAGUUCAAAAGCAUAUGCAUUAGCCUAAGAAAAUCACAUCUUUAUCUGAAAAUCUGACUUUGAUACCAUAUUAGUAAUUCGAAGAUUUGAGGUGAAGAAUCAAAAGAACUUUGAAGCUCUCAAUCACAUGCAUUUGUGUGUGCGUGUGUUUUCCAAUUUCAAAAACAUAUUAUGGAAUAAAAAUAAAAAGCACACAAAUAAAUCAACAAUCAAUCCCUAAAAUGUUCGUGGAUGUCAGAAAAUUUGGCCGCUGAGUUUAAUUAAAUUCUAAAAUGAUUCGUGAAAUUGAAAAUUCAAAAAUUACAUAUUUUGAAUCAUCUAAUUUAUCCACGGCGACAAGUCACCACUACAUGUUUAGGUAAAGCUCUAUAUUAAAAAUUUGUGUUGCCAGCAUGUUGUGGGGUGACUCAUGUGAUUAAGAAAUUUCAAUUUCAUAAAGUAUUUUAAAAUAGAAACCAAAUUGUGUGAUCUUUAUAAUUUAAUAGACUCAGUCGAUGAUUGACUCAAAGAAACACACUCAACGAAUGAAAGAAGUAUAUAAAUUUUCUAAACCUAAUUAAUGUCAUAGACUUAAAACAAUAUUAAGUGAUAAAGAGAAAUUAUAAGAACAUUACCUUUCUUUUCGCUUCUCCAAAAACCGAGUCAACGAAGCUUUACGCGCUUGAGGCAAGCCUACUAUAAACACAAUAAAAUUUUGCUAAUUAUUAUGUGUCUUACAAAAAUAAAAGAUACUAACUUUUAAAAAAUAUAAAAAUACUGCUAGCAACACACUCUUUUUCUAUACUUUAAAUUAAGUGGAUUAUUGUAAUCUUCAACCUCUCUAUUAGUAGAGUGGCAUGAGAUUUCACUCUUAGUAUGAAAAAAUUGAAAAUAAAGUGUUAUAUAAUGUGUUACUAACAUUUUUCAAAAAAAAAAAAAAAUAAUAAUAAUCACACAAAUAAAUCAACAAUCAAUCCCUAAAAUGUUCGUGGAUGUCAGAAAAUUUGGCCGCUGAGUUUAAUUAAAUUCUAAAAUGAUUCGUGAAAUUGAAAAUUCAAAAAUUACAUAUUUUGAAUCAUCUAAUUUAUCCACGGCGACAAGUCACCACUACAUGUUUAGGUAAAGCUCUAUAUUAAAAAUUUGUGUUGCCAGCAUGUUGUGGGGUGACUCAUGUGAUUAAGAAAUUUCAAUUUCAUAAAGUAUUUUAAAAUAGAAACCAAAUUGUGUGAUCUUUAUAAUUUAAUAGACUCAGUCGAUGAUUGACUCAAAGAAACACACUCAACGAAUGAAAGAAGUAUAUAAAUUUUCUAAACCUAAUUAAUGUCAUAGACUUAAAACAAUAUUAAGUGAUAAAGAGAAAUUAUAAGAACAUUACCUUU
RNAcentral lists this long non-coding RNA (1364 nucleotides) under Cicer arietinum (chickpea). Its description in RNAcentral is "long non-coding RNA (CARI_LNC002613)". The record is from RNAcentral. Lineage: Eukaryota; Viridiplantae; Streptophyta; Magnoliopsida; Fabales; Fabaceae.